This 1027-nucleotide long non-coding RNA is filed under the name Apteryx owenii (little spotted kiwi). RNAcentral's name for it is "lncRNA (ENSAOWG00000018053.1)". Lineage: Eukaryota; Metazoa; Chordata; Aves; Apterygiformes; Apterygidae. The record is from RNAcentral.
AAUCAACUUCCAAGGCUGAAGAAGCUCCCUUUCGCUCUGGAGUACGGACGUCUUUUGCCUAGAGAUGGCCAAGGCACAGGAAAAGAGAAAUCCGGCUAAGAUGCAGGUCCUCCGCCCAGUUCUUCUGGAGCCAGUGAAGGGCAGGAAGUAUUUCCAGAACUGCUACCAGGGUCUCAUCAAAGCAGCGAUGCUCAGGCAGAAGCAUGCAAGACGAAGGUGACUUUUCUGAGAACAAAGUGAAAUUAAGUUUAUUGGGUGAGCAGCUUUUCAGACUGCAAGUCCUGACCGAGGAGGACAGUGUGGCGAAAUGGCUACCUCUUGCUUGUGGGGAGCUGAAAGUGUUACUAAAAUUCAAGUGUGGUGCAACCCAGAGCGCAGCUCCCAGAGGCAGCGAACAGACGCAGCAGUUCGCGCAGCAGUUCGCGCAGCAGUUCGCGCAGCAGUUCGCGCAGCAGUUCGCGCAGCAGUUCGCGCAGCAGUUCGCGCAGCAGUUCGCGCAGCAGUUCGCGCAGCAGUUCGCGCAGAAGGGUGCGCGAAGGGACGUGCGAAGGGACCUUCAUUUCUGUUCCCUGUGGUGUACACUUCCUCAAGUAUGGUCGUGACACGCCACACAGCGCGUUCCCCAGUGACUGUUGGAGUUGCUGCAUCAGAGGCUUGGACCCAGACCGACCCUCUGACAGUAGAUGCGGCUCUACAGGUCUCAGGCUGCAGGGAGUGCUUGGGGCCUCUCCGGGAGGCCUGGGCUGGCAGCCAGCUCUCCUGCAGGAGGUGUGCUGCUGUUGACGAGUUGUGUCGUCAGGUAAGGGAGUUACGGGAGGAGGUCAGUAGGCUGCGCAGCAUCCGAGAAGCAGAGCAAGAGAUAGACAGGGUAUUCUCGGAGACUGUACAGCUCCAGGAGUCCCAACCCCCUGCAGCAGUGGMGUUGCCAGAGGGCUCUGUGCCGUGUGAAACGGUACAUCAUAACAUCGUAGAAGAAGGCUGGAAACUGGUCACUGCUCGUGGGAGGAGAAAGGCUCCUACUCCUCCU